Molecule: non-coding RNA, 566 nt
Organism: Maylandia zebra (zebra mbuna)
Lineage: Eukaryota; Metazoa; Chordata; Actinopteri; Cichliformes; Cichlidae
Source: RefSeq, a predicted model, not a curated record
UGCUUGCUCUUGUGAUGACUGGUUGUGUGCUAGCAUAGAUAAGACGAGAGCAGGUUUAAAAAGCAGAAGCAUUUCUGAACUUUUGUCAGAAAGUAAAACUUCAUAUCUCCUCGUACUACAACAGUUACGCUGACAAUAAAUAGCAUCUAUCUGAUUGAACAGUACAAGUAAAAUGAGCAUAAACAUUUUGACUGCCAUCAUCUUCACUGCAUCCUUUUUCCCCUGGGCCAUCAACAUGACUGAAUAUCCAACAUUCCCCUGUUACAACAAAAGCUCAGAAUACAAAUACAACAAAUUUGUCAAAAAUCACAUCCUCCAUGACAGCUUUGACAGAAAUUCUCUAGAUGCUUGGAAAAGGUAUUUGAAAAAGGAAGGCCUCUGGUGCCGAACUCCAGUGCAGUCCUUCAUCAGUGACAGUGAGUGGAAUGUCGACAGGAUCUGCAGCAGUGAUGGUCGUCGCUUGGCUGACUCAGUUACCUACGCAGGCAACUUGUGUAUCAGCAACUCAGAAAUGCUGAUUUAUGAGGUCACAAUUAAGAAAACCAACAAGGGUCGUAAAAUUAAUG